AUUGAACGCUGGCGGCAUGCCUUACACAUGCAAGUCGAACGGUAACAGGUCUUCGGAUGCUGACGAGUGGCGAACGGGUGAGUAAUACAUCGGAACGUGCCUAGUAGUGGGGGAUAACUACUCGAAAGAGUGGCUAAUACCGCAUGAGAUCUACGGAUGAAAGCGGGGGAUCGCAAGACCUUGUGCUACUAGAGCGGCCGAUGGCAGAUUAGGUAGUUGGUGGGAUAAAAGCUUACCAAGCCGACGAUCUGUAGCUGGUCUGAGAGGACGAUCAGCCACACUGGGACUGAGACACGGCCCAGACUCCUACGGGAGGCAACAGUGGGGAAUUUUGGACAAUGGGCGAAAGCCUGAUCCAGCAAUGCCGCGUGCAGGAUGAAGGCCUUCGGGUUGUAAACUGCUUUUGUACGGAACGAAAAGCCCCGGGUUAAUACCCUGGGGUCAUGACGGUACCGUAAGAAUAAGCACCGGCUAACUACGUGCCAGCCGCCGCGGUAA
RNAcentral lists this ribosomal RNA (498 nucleotides) under uncultured bacterium. RNAcentral's name for it is "partial 16S ribosomal RNA". It matches the Rfam family "Bacterial small subunit ribosomal RNA", at positions 30 to 523 of the family's 1533-position model. The record is from RNAcentral.